Sarcophilus harrisii (Tasmanian devil) is the source of this 150-nucleotide microRNA precursor. Ensembl annotates it as sha-mir-23b. Its record names the gene sha-mir-23b. Lineage: Eukaryota; Metazoa; Chordata; Mammalia; Dasyuromorphia; Dasyuridae. The record is from Ensembl.
CUUUUGUUGUGAAAGUAUGAACUCAAGAGGACACCAUGAUUUUCUUGAGUGCUCUGGCUGCUUGGGUUCCUGGCAUGCUGAUUUGUGACUUAAGAUUAAAAUCACAUUGCCAGGGAUUACCACGCAGCCAUGACGUUGGCUGCUCUUCCA